RNAcentral lists this ribosomal RNA (655 nucleotides) under Burkholderia sp. Its description in RNAcentral is "bacterial SSU rRNA". It matches the Rfam family "Bacterial small subunit ribosomal RNA", at positions 66 to 714 of the family's 1533-position model. Lineage: Bacteria; Pseudomonadati; Pseudomonadota; Betaproteobacteria; Burkholderiales; Burkholderiaceae. The record is from RNAcentral.
ACGGCAGCACGGGUGCUUGCACCUGGUGGCGAGUGGCGAACGGGUGAGUAAUACAUCGGAACAUGUCCUGUAGUGGGGGAUAGCCCGGCGAAAGCCGGAUUAAUACCGCAUACGAUCUACGGAUGAAAGCGGGGGACCUUCGGGCCUCGCGCUAUAGGGUUGGCCGAUGGCUGAUUAGCUAGUUGGUGGGGUAAAGGCCUACCAAGGCGACGAUCAGUAGCUGGUCUGAGAGGACGACCAGCCACACUGGGACUGAGACACGGCCCAGACUCCUACGGGAGGCAGCAGUGGGGAAUUUUGGACAAUGGGCGAAAGCCUGAUCCAGCAAUGCCGCGUGUGUGAAGAAGGCCUUCGGGUUGUAAAGCACUUUUGUCCGGAAAGAAAUCCCUGGCUCUAAUACAGUCGGGGGAUGACGGUACCGGAAGAAUAAGCACCGGCUAACUACGUGCCAGCAGCCGCGGUAAUACGUAGGGUGCAAGCGUUAAUCGGAAUUACUGGGCGUAAAGCGUGCGCAGGCGGUUUGCUAAGACCGAUGUGAAAUCCCCGGGCUCAACCUGGGAACUGCAUUGGUGACUGGCAGGCUAGAGUAUGGCAGAGGGGGGUAGAAUUCCACGUGUAGCAGUGAAAUGCGUAGAGAUGUGGAGGAAUACCGAUG